Cyprinus carpio (common carp) is the source of this 347-nucleotide long non-coding RNA. RefSeq lists it as uncharacterized. The record is from RefSeq and is a predicted model, not a curated record. Lineage: Eukaryota; Metazoa; Chordata; Actinopteri; Cypriniformes; Cyprinidae. The transcript is spliced from 2 exons.
CUCACAGACGCGGACAUUGUGUUUUCAUAUGAGGUCAUGUGAUGGGAAGCUUGAGCGUUCCAAUGUUGUGACUGAUGUGUGUGUGUGUGUCUGUCAGCAGGUUUCAUUCAGCCUCCUGCCGUGAACGGGAUCCCGCCGCAGCCUCCGUAUUACCCCCCCGCAGGCUUCCAGCCCUCCUAUCCCGCCCCCAUCCCGCCGCCGCAGCCUGUCCCUCCUCAGUAUCCGGUGGCUCCUGUAGCGCCAGUGCCCGUCCCCCCCCCGACUGCACAGUAUCCCAUCCCCCCCGCGAGCGUCCCGGCACAGACUCUUCCUCCCGCUCCGUUCCCUCCGGCUGCAUUGGCUCCACC